RNAcentral lists this long non-coding RNA (755 nucleotides) under Populus trichocarpa (black cottonwood). RNAcentral describes it as "long non-coding RNA (PTRI_LNC003597)". Lineage: Eukaryota; Viridiplantae; Streptophyta; Magnoliopsida; Malpighiales; Salicaceae. The record is from RNAcentral.
ACUCUCAAAACAUGCCUAAAACAUCCUAGCGAAUCACUGCACAGCUCCAUUUAUUUGAGAAUAUCCUUCUCAACAAUAGAUCUCCUAGCCAAGCUUAUCUCCUAUUGAAAUCACUGCAAUCACAGGAGGAUGCUCGUAUAGUUUUUUCUGAAACUUUGACGACCUCCUUCCUUAUCUAGCAAUGCUUCAAGGAACUGUGGAGGAUUAAGCAAUGGAGGGAAGCUGCGCCUUCCCUUCCACUCAACAUCAAUCCUAUCUGGGAUCUCUCUAGACUCCUUGUGCUCUCAUUUAUUUCCUCUAACCUUCAUAAUAUAUAUGCACUUGACACUUGGAGGGCCAAUAUUGAAGCCAUCAUUUAUCAGUAGAAUUCCCUGCAUUUGCAUUCACAGAUAUUAAUUUGUGGGCAAGUUCUCUCUUCUCUUUUCACGAGGAUCACGUCUUCACUUGUCAUAAAACAUACCGAUAAAGGAUCUUUAGAGCUCACGGUCAACUUGUGCUGGAUUGCUAUCACCGUCUGCAUAGAUUUGAGAAAAUCCAGGAGCAUCAGGCAACGUUUCAGAAUUGGCUCUGACAGUAAUGCAAAAAAACAUUCUAUAAACAAAACCGUCACAGUACAUGCAAUAACUGGCAUGAACCUUAAGCAGCACUCCUUACAUGGCAUCAUCGUUUAAACUGAGCCCAAGCAAUUCUCAGUUGGGUCUGCUAUCAAAAGAGAACUCCGCUCGGUCCGAUCAGAAAUCCAAAAAUGGAAAAAG